UUUUGACUGAGAGAGCUGAUACCAGCAGCUUGAGUGCAAAAAUUAGCCGUGGGUAUCAGAUAGGCUGAGCGAUCUUUCUGCGCUUAUUUUAGUGACCAAACAGUUGUUUUACCUUCUAGAUUUCAAGGAAGCAGACGUCUUUACGAGCACAGAGCGUGCAUUUUCCUGUUCUGAAGCUACAUUUAUGGUUACCUCCUGCCAAAUCUCUUUCACAAAGCUUUUUAUUAUAGAUUAAAAGCGAGUGACAGAGCAAACGGAAGAGCUAUAGCCUUGUCAUAUUCUGAAUGUCAUCAUUAGUUAAGCAUGAAGUUCCAGGUUUCCCAAACGGAACCACAACCACAGACGGCAGGAAUAAAUCAGCGAUGGUGACAGACUCCAAUCAACUCCACAGAAUAAUGCAGUGAGAGAAGCACGUGGGAAUCCAGCGGCCUUGCUAACGCCUUGUCAGUGUGUCGAAUCUGCUCCGCGCCAUAUUAGAGGCAACGGUAACUUAAUUCCGACUGAGUCGGCUGCCGAUUUGCUCCGCUGAGCUGCUCCUUGAAUCAAAAGGGCAUUAAUCAAAGAGAGAGGGGUCGAUCCAACGUCAACCACAUGGCUUUGACCUCAGCUUGACUGAGUACCUGCCAUGACGCAAAGAUAUUUACAGGUUGCCGAUCCCAUCAAUCUAGUUUUUUUUUUUUUUUUUUUUUUUUUUUUCCCUUUUUUAAAAGCAAGUGUCAGAUAAAAGACAGAGAGAUCUGGACUGUUUAUACUGCAGACGGCACACAAGACCUGUAGCUAUGGCAGCAUGGAAAGACUAAUAAGGGAGUUUGCACAUUUCUGCUUCAGACUGCCACAAUGUUUAAAUAGACUUGCUGAGUACUCCUCUGCAGAAGCACGUUGGCUAAAAUACAAAACUUAGCCGGGGAAACUGUGUCAUGGCAGGACAAAUUUGAAGUUAAGCUCGCUAAUGCAGACCAUAAAGACUCAAUCUUCAGUAGAAAAGCAUAUUUUAUGUGUUAUAUUUAAUUGUUUGGAGGCACAUUAUCCAGAGUGGGGCAGAAACACAAUUAUACUUGUGAGAAAUACAUUUUUAUCAUAUUACAUUGCUUUUACUCCUAAAUGCACAUUUUAUUUUUAUAUUUUAGUUUAAAAACAGGAUCUUACUGGUGUAGAUCUGGACACAUGCAUCCUCUUUGCAAGGUAACGUUUCUGCCGGGCAAUUCUGUCACUGUUUAACCUUUCAGUUUCAUGGUCGGCAUACAGUUUUUAGAUCUGGACUGCAGCACAUCAAUCUUUGAAGUUAUGCUUUUAUAAGUCUUACAGUUGAAAUAUGGAGUUGUCCUAAUGGAAAAAAAACCCCUCCAGGCUCCCAGGAGAAGCUAUCAUCUUGAUGACGGAAACUCUCUCUUUUAAAUUCCAACAUAUGUCUGAGGAAAACCUUUACAGGUCAGCGAGGGCCGUGGAUACCGAUGCAGCCCAGUAUCAUCUCUGCUGACAGGUUUUGCAACUUCAUCCUUCAUUUGAUGAAGACCGAUUGUGUUUACUUAAAGAAAACUGAAAUGUAGAGUGAUCCAACCAAAGAGCAUGUGUCCACUGUACAACUAUUUAUACAAGAUGAGCUCAUGCUCUAAGAAGUCGGAUGUAUUUUUGCACAGAGUUCAGAGAUAAAUGGCAGUCCACUGUGUCACACAGCUCCAGCGUACAUUUCUGGAUACAGAGGACGAUUGGGUGCAGUGAGUGUACAGUUUACAGUGCUGUAAAAAGUGUUUGUUCUCCUA
Molecule: long non-coding RNA, 1760 nt
Organism: Poecilia latipinna (sailfin molly)
Lineage: Eukaryota; Metazoa; Chordata; Actinopteri; Cyprinodontiformes; Poeciliidae
Exons: 2
Source: RefSeq, a predicted model, not a curated record